Molecule: ribosomal RNA, 480 nt
Filed under: uncultured bacterium
Lineage: Bacteria
Description: bacterial SSU rRNA
Rfam family: Bacterial small subunit ribosomal RNA
Source: RNAcentral
GAUUGGACAGGGCGCAGCUCGAUCAUUAUGCCGCGUGCAGGAGAAGGCUUCGGGUUGUAAACUGCUUUUGUCAGGAAAGAAAUCUUCUGGGUUAAUACCUCGGGAGGAUACGGUACCUGAAGAAUAAGCACCGGCUAACUACGUGCCAGCAGCCGCGGUAAUACGUAGGGUGCGAGCGUUAAUCGGAAUUACUGGGCGUAAAGCGUGCGCAGGCGGCUUUGCAAGACAGAGGUGAAAUCCCCGGGCUCAACCUGGGAACUGCCUUUGUGACUGCAAGGCUAGAGUACGGCAGAGGGGGAUGGAAUUCCGCGUGUAGCAGUGAAAUGCGUAGAUAUGCGGAGGAACACCAAUGGCGAAGGCAAUCCCCUGGGCCUGUACUGACGCUCAUGCACGAAAGCGUGGGGAGCAAACAGGAUUAGAUACCCUGGUAGUCCACGCCCUAUACGACGUCAACUGGUUGUUGGCCGGUUUGCUGUUCAG